GACGAACGCUGGCGGCGUGCUUAACACAUGCAAGUCGAACGGAAAGGCCCUGCUUGCAGGGUACUCGAGUGGCGAACGGGUGAGUAACACGUGGGUGAUCUGCCCUGCACUUCGGGAUAAGCCUGGGAAACUGGGUCUAAUACCGGAUAGGAGCCAUUUUUAGUGUGAUGGUUGGAAAGUUUUUUCGGUGUAGGAUGAGCUCGCGGCCUAUCAGCUUGUUGGUGGGGUAAUGGCCUACCAAGGCGGCGGCGGGUAGCCGGCCUGAGAGGGUGGACGGCCACAGUGGGACUGAGAUACGGCCAAGACUCCGACGGGAGGCAGCAGUGGGGAAUAUUGCACAAUGGGCGCAAGCCUGAUGCAGCGACGCCGCGUGGGGGAUGACGGCCUUCGGGUUGUAAACGCCUUUCGCUAGGGACGAAGCUUUUUGUGACGGUACCUAGAUAAGAAGCACCGGCUAACUACGUG
Molecule: ribosomal RNA, 465 nt
Filed under: uncultured bacterium
Lineage: Bacteria
Description: partial 16S ribosomal RNA
Rfam family: Bacterial small subunit ribosomal RNA
Source: RNAcentral